AAUAGCAUAUACCAAAGUUGUUGUGGUUAAAAAGCUCGUAGUUGGAUCUAAAGCUUUGGAUUCCGGUCCCCCACAGGGCGUGUACUGGUUUUCCUGGCCUAUCUCGUUGGUUAUCCCUUGGUGCUCUUAACCGGGUGUCUUGGGCGAUCAACAUGUUUACUUUGAAAAAAUUAGAGUGCUUAAAGCAGGCGGUUUUGCCUGAAUAGUGGUGCAUGGAAUAAUGGAAUAGGACCUCGCUUCUAUUUUGUUGGUUUUCGGAGCGCGAGGUAAUGAUUAAGAGGGACAGACGGGGGCAUUCGUAUUGCGACGUUAGAGGUGAAAUUCUUGGAUCGUCGCAAGACGGACAACUGCGAAGGCAUUUGCCAAGAAUGUUUUCAUUAAUCAAGAACGAAAGUUAGAGGUU
This 403-nucleotide ribosomal RNA is filed under the name Nematoda sp. MM00031. Its description in RNAcentral is "SSU rRNA". It matches the Rfam family "Eukaryotic small subunit ribosomal RNA", at positions 593 to 998 of the family's 1831-position model. Lineage: Eukaryota; Metazoa; Nematoda. The record is from RNAcentral.